RNAcentral lists this transfer RNA (74 nucleotides) under Fibrobacter sp. Its description in RNAcentral is "tRNA-Arg". It matches the Rfam family "tRNA". Rfam says of the family: Transfer RNA (tRNA) molecules are approximately 80 nucleotides in length. Their secondary structure includes four short double-helical elements and three loops (D, anti-codon, and T loops). Further hydrogen bonds mediate the characteristic L-shaped molecular structure. tRNAs have two regions of fundamental functional importance: the anti-codon, which is responsible for specific mRNA codon recognition, and the 3' end, to which the tRNAs corresponding amino acid is attached (by aminoacyl-tRNA synthetases). tRNAs cope with the degeneracy of the genetic code in two manners: having more than one tRNA (with a specific anti-codon) for a particular amino acid; and 'wobble' base-pairing, i.e. permitting non-standard base-pairing at the 3rd anti-codon position. The record is from RNAcentral. Lineage: Bacteria; Pseudomonadati; Fibrobacterota; Fibrobacteria; Fibrobacterales; Fibrobacteraceae. RNAcentral also lists the same sequence under 5 other names.
GGUCGAGUAGCUCAGUUGGAUAGAGCAUCUGCCUUCUAAGCAGAGGGUCGUGGGUUCGAAUCCCGCCUCGACUA